UGCAAGUCGAGCGAACAGACAAGGAGCUUGCUCCUUUGACGUUAGCGGCGGACGGGUGAGUAACACGUGGGUAACCUACCUAUAAGACUGGGAUAACUUCGGGAAACCGGAGCUAAUACCGGAUAAUAUUUCGAACCGCAUGGUUCGAUAGUGAAAGAUGGUUUUGCUAUCACUUAUAGAUGGACCCGCGCCGUAUUAGCUAGUUGGUAAGGUAACGGCUUACCAAGGCGACGAUACGUAGCCGACCUGAGAGGGUGAUCGGCCACACUGGAACUGAGACACGGUCCAGACUCCUACGGGAGGCAGCAGUAGGGAAUCUUCCGCAAUGGGCGAAAGCCUGACGGAGCAACGCCGCGUGAGUGAUGAAGGUCUUCGGAUCGUAAAACUCUGUUAUUAGGGAAGAACAUACGUGUAAGUAACUAUGCACGUCUUGACGGUACCUAAUCAGAAAGCCACGGCUAACUACGUGCCAGCAGCCGCGGUAAUACGUAGGUGGCAAGCGUUAUCCGGGAAUUAUUGGGCGUAAAGCGCGCGUAGGCGGUUUUUUAAGUCUGAUGUGAAAGCCCACGGCUCAACCGUGGAGGGUCAUUGGAAACUGGAAAACUUGAGUGCAGAAGAGGAAAGUGGAAUUCCAUGUGUAGCGGUGAAAUGCGCAGAGAUAUGGAGGAACACCAGUGGCGAAGGCGACUUUCUGGUCUGUAACUGACGCUGAUGUGCGAAAGCGUGGGGAUCAAACAGGAUUAGAUACCCUGGUAGUCCACGCCGUAAACGAUGAGUGCUAAGUGUUAGGGGGUUUCCGCCCCUUAGUGCUGCAGCUAACGCAUUAAGCACUCCGCCUGGGGAGUACGACCGCAAGGUUGAAACUCAAAGGAAUUGACGGGGACCCGCACAAGCGGUGGAGCAUGUGGUUUAAUUCGAAGCAACGCGAAGAACCUUACCAAAUCUUGACAUCCUUUGACAACUCUAGAGAUAGAGCCUUCCCCUUCGGGGGACAAAGUGACAGGUGGUGCAUGGUUGUCGUCAGCUCGUGUCGUGAGAUGUUGGGUUAAGUCCCGCAACGAGCGCAACCCUUAAGCUUAGUUGCCAUCAUUAAGUUGGGCACUCUAAGUUGACUGCCGGUGACAAACCGGAGGAAGGUGGGGAUGACGUCAAAUCAUCAUGCCCCUUAUGAUUUGGGCUACACACGUGCUACAAUGGACAAUACAAAGGGCAGCGAAACCGCGAGGUCAAGCAAAUCCCAUAAAGUUGUUCUCAGUUCGGAUUGUAGUCUGCAACUCGACUACAUGAAGCUGGAAUCGCUAGUAAUCGUAGAUCAGCAUGCUACGGUGAAUACGUUCCCGGGUCUUGUACACACCGCCCGUCACACCACGAGAGUUUGUAACACCCGAAGCCGGUGGAGUAACCAUUGGAGCUAGCCGUC
This 1420-nucleotide ribosomal RNA is filed under the name Staphylococcus haemolyticus. Its description in RNAcentral is "bacterial SSU rRNA". It matches the Rfam family "Bacterial small subunit ribosomal RNA". The record is from RNAcentral. Lineage: Bacteria; Bacillati; Bacillota; Bacilli; Caryophanales; Staphylococcaceae.